CCUACGGGAGGCAGCAGUGGGGAAUAUUGCACAAUGGGGGAAACCCUGAUGCAGCGACGCCGCGUGAGUGAAGAAGUAAUUCGUUAUGUAAAGCUCUAUCAGCAGGGAAGAAAAUGACGGUAUCUGUGUAAGAAGCCCUGGCCAACUACGUGCAAGCAGCCGCGGGAAUACGUAGGGGGAAAGCGUUAUCCGGAUUUACUGGGUGUAAAGGGAGCGUAGACGGCAGUGCGAGUCUGGAGUGAAAGGCGGGGGUUCAACCCGCGGACUGCUCUGGAUACUGUACGGCUGGAGUGCAGGAGAGGUAAGUAGAAUUCCUGGUGUAGCGGUGAAAUGCGUAGAUAUGAGGAGGAACACCAGUGGCGAAGGCGGCUUACUGGAC
RNAcentral lists this ribosomal RNA (379 nucleotides) under uncultured bacterium. RNAcentral describes it as "partial 16S ribosomal RNA". It matches the Rfam family "Bacterial small subunit ribosomal RNA", at positions 338 to 734 of the family's 1533-position model. The record is from RNAcentral.